The sequence is a regulatory RNA element, 134 nucleotides long. It matches the Rfam family "FMN riboswitch aptamer (RFN element)". From Rfam's summary of the family: The RFN element is a highly conserved domain that is found frequently in the 5'-untranslated regions of prokaryotic mRNAs that encode for flavin mononucleotide (FMN) biosynthesis and transport proteins. This element is a metabolite-dependent riboswitch that directly binds FMN in the absence of proteins. In Bacillus subtilis, the riboswitch most likely controls gene expression by causing premature transcription termination within the 5' untranslated region of the ribDEAHT operon and precluding access to the ribosome-binding site of ypaA mRNA. The record is from Rfam.
AAAGUCCUUCGGGGUCGGGUGAAAGUCCCAAUCGACGGUGAUGAAGAAAUUCUAAGCCCGUGAGCCUUUUCAUAAAGGCAGGAUUUGGUGUGAAUCCAAAGCCGACAGUAUAGUCUGGAUGGGAGAAGGACGUA